Molecule: ribosomal RNA, 497 nt
Filed under: uncultured bacterium
Lineage: Bacteria
Description: partial 16S ribosomal RNA
Rfam family: Bacterial small subunit ribosomal RNA
Source: RNAcentral
GAUGAACGCUGGCGGCGUGCCUAAUACAUGCAAGUCGAGCGAACGGACGAGAAGCUUGCCUCUCUGAUGUUAGCGGCGGACGGGUGAGUAACACGUGGAUAACCUACCUAUAAGACUGGGAUAACUUCUGGAAACCGUAGCUAAUACCGGAUAAUAUUUUGAACCGCAUGGUUCAAAAGUGAAAGACGGUCUUGCUGUCACUUAUAGAUGUAUCCGCGCUGCAUUAGCUAGUUGGUAAGGUAACGGCUUACCAAGGCAACGAUGCAUAGCCGACCUGAGAGGGUGAUCGGCCACACUGGAACUGAGACACGGUCCAGACUCCUACGGGAGGCAGCAGUAGGGAAUCUUCCGCAAUGGGCGAAAGCCUGACGGAGCAACGCCGCGUGAGUGAUGAAGGUCUUCGGAUCGUAAAACUCUGUUAUUAGGGAAGAACAUAUGUGUAAGUAACUGUGCACAUCUUGACGGUACCUAAUCAGAAAGCCACGGCUAACUACGUG